This is a non-coding RNA of Maylandia zebra (zebra mbuna), 177 nucleotides long. The record is from RefSeq and is a predicted model, not a curated record. NCBI's taxonomy places the organism in Eukaryota, Metazoa, Chordata, Actinopteri, Cichliformes, Cichlidae.
GAAGAGUGCAGCAGAUUGAUGAGACAGUGAAGAAGAGAAAGAUGAUGGAAGAACUAAAGAACAGCCAGCCAAAGCAGCUCCAUCAGCAGAGGAGGAGCUUGCCAGGGUACGGUCAGCCUUUGUCUGGAGGGUAACAAUAGAAAUCCUUAAACUGCUCCUUGAGGCCCUUGUAAGUGA